UAGGGAAUCUUGGGCAAUGGGCGAGAGCCUGACCCAGCCAUGCCGCGUGCCGGACGAAGGCGCUUGGCGUUGUAAACGGCUUUUACCCUUGAAGAACGGCCCGUAUGCGUACGGGUGUGACGGUAGAGGGGGAAUCAGCACCGGCUAACUCCGUGCCAGCAGCCGCGGUAAUACGGAGGGUGCAAGCGUUGUCCGGAUUUAUUGGGUUUAAAGGGUGCGUAGGUGGGCGGCUAAGUCUGGUUUGAAAGCGGGUGGCUCAACCAUCCGAUGUGGCUGGAAACUGGUGGUCUGGAAUGGGCUGGCGGCUGCUGGAACGGGUCAUGUAGCGGUGAAAUGCAUAGAUAUGACCCAGAACUCCGAUUGCGAAGGCAGGCAGCUACGGCUUGAUUGACACUGAGGC
This 400-nucleotide ribosomal RNA is filed under the name uncultured bacterium. Its description in RNAcentral is "bacterial SSU rRNA". It matches the Rfam family "Bacterial small subunit ribosomal RNA", at positions 355 to 752 of the family's 1533-position model. The record is from RNAcentral.